RNAcentral lists this ribosomal RNA (464 nucleotides) under Vreelandella stevensii. RNAcentral's name for it is "partial 16S ribosomal RNA". It matches the Rfam family "Bacterial small subunit ribosomal RNA", at positions 338 to 794 of the family's 1533-position model. The record is from RNAcentral. Lineage: Bacteria; Pseudomonadati; Pseudomonadota; Gammaproteobacteria; Oceanospirillales; Halomonadaceae.
CCUACGGGGUGCAGCAGUGGGGAAUAUUGGACAAUGGGCGAAAGCCUGAUCCAGCCAUGCCGCGUGUGUGAAGAAGGCCUUCGGGUUGUAAAGCACUUUCAGUGGGGAAGAAAGCCUUGGGGCUAAUACCCUCGAGGAAGGACAUCACCCACAGAAGAAGCACCGGCUAACUCCGUGCCAGCAGCCGCGGUAAUACGGAGGGUGCGAGCGUUAAUCGGAAUUACUGGGCGUAAAGCGCGCGUAGGCGGUCUGAUAAGCCGGUUGUGAAAGCCCCGGGCUCAACCUGGGAACGGCAUCCGGAACUGUCAGGCUAGAGUGCAGGAGAGGAAGGUAGAAUUCCCGGUGUAGCGGUGAAAUGCGUAGAGAUCGGGAGGAAUACCAGUGGCGAAGGCGGCCUUCUGGACUGACACUGACGCUGAGGUGCGAAAGCGUGGGUAGCAAACAGGAUUAGAUACCCCGGUAGC